GGUAGCGUGGCUGAGCGGUGUAAGGCACUGGAUUUAGGCUCCAGUCUCUUUGGAGGCAUGGGUUUGAGUCCCACCGCUGCCA
RNAcentral lists this transfer RNA (82 nucleotides) under Equus caballus (horse). Its description in RNAcentral is "tRNA-Leu (TAG) (tRNA-Leu-TAG-5-1)". It matches the Rfam family "tRNA". Rfam says of the family: Transfer RNA (tRNA) molecules are approximately 80 nucleotides in length. Lineage: Eukaryota; Metazoa; Chordata; Mammalia; Perissodactyla; Equidae. The record is from RNAcentral.